UUUCAUUUUUUUUUUACAAAUCCUUUCAUCAAUUCCUUCCCGUAUUCUUAUGUGGUGCUUUCACCGUUCAGCUGCAUAACCUAGUUUUCCACCAUGCAUCAAUAGCCCGACCAGACUUCGGCCCUUCUUCAUUCAGCUUGACCAAACUUCGGCCUUUCCUUAUUCCCUCAACCAACCUUAGUUGUUCGCAUCUCAACCUCUUUUCCUGUUUGCAGCUUGACCACCCUUCAAUGUAUUAUGCUGAACAAGUAACUUUAAUUUCUCUCUCAAAUCAGUUGUUUUUCUUUUCUUCUACUAUGUUUUCGUCUCCUUCUUUUGGGUUAUCAUAUUUAUUAUAUUUAACUGUUAGGGUUUAUGGUUUGUUAAAAUCUUUGAUUAUUUGGGUAUAAUGAAUGGUUAAAUUCUUGUUGAAAUUUAUGUUUAUCUUAAAACCUUUUUGGGAUUAUAGGAGGAGUGUUUUUCAUUUUUAUUGUCAGGAGUGGGAGGUUGGGUUGGGAUUUGGAGUGGGAAAGUGACGAGUAAGACGAGAUCGGAAGGUAGUGAUGAAAUGGAUUGAGAGGGAAAUCAGUGUUAUUAGGGGUGUCGACUUAUGUCGAUCCAGUUUUCAAUGUUGAAUUCCGAGAAUCAUAGGACUGUGGAGUGAGGGUUUAGGGGAGGGAAUUAGAAUAUUGUAAGAGUUAAAUGACUAUCUUGACACUACAAGAUGUCAAGAGAAUUAAGGCAAUAGCAAUUAGAUAUGACAUUGUUUAGUGAGGAUAGAGACAUAACAUGGAAGCUGAAGAAUGAGGUAUCCCUAAUUUUAAAUGAUAAUUCUCAUUUAAACUUCAUACUCAUUGUGUUUGACUUCUUAAUUUUAUUAAAGCUGCAGUGGGUAGCCAAAGUCAAAACUUGGAAGUGGAUGGAAGUUAAGGUUCCAGGUUUUUCAUGUUCUAUUAAACUAGCAUGGUUUGAUGUUUCUACUAGUAAUUUCUAGUUGUGCUAUAUUGGUUGAUACCUUGUUUAUCUUGUUGCAUUUUUUUUAUCGUUGGGCUGAUUUGUGUUAUGAUACACUUCAAUAUUCACGAUAUUGAGACUUUUAAGUUGUUUCAUAAAGUGAAUUUAGGAUGUAAAUGGUUGGAUAAAUUAUAAAUAAAUAAAUCUAUGGUAGGUUCCUUGUGUUCAAUGAAAGCCUCAAGUGGAAGUUCAACCUCUUUGCAUACAUGCUGUCCAUUUUGAAUAUUUGGCUCACACAAUCUAUUCCCUGCCUCCUCUUUGAUUGUACUGUCUCUAGUUCUUGUAAAAGUUUUGGGAACUUACUUCCUAACCCCUUUUGACUUUCAAGUGUUGUAUUAAGAAAUAUUAAAAGGUAAAUAUAUUUAGUCUUUAUGAAAUAUUCUCUUAUGGGGUUUAGUUCUUAUAAAUAUUUUAUUGAUGUUAAGUGUCAUUUGAAUAUUUUUAGAGGCUAAACUUAAGUGAAGAGUUUUACUACUUAGGUGAUAUCAUGUCAUGAUCAUUUAUAGUAUGGUGGAAAGCAUAAUUGUCUUAAGAAUGGUGGUUAGUAAGACUUUGAGUUAUAUAGGAUUGAACAUAAAUUUGUUUAGAAGAAUUCUUUUUGGACCAACUUCAUUAGAAACUGUACAAAGUAAAUCAGAUGGAGUGUAUGCCGGUGAGAAAUUAUUAAGAAUAAAAGCAAAAGAAAUUAUAAGUUUUUUCUUUCUUUUCAUAGGAAAUUAUGCAUGGCUAGGCUUGCCGAUUGCCGUUAAUGUUAAAGGGGUUAUGCACUGCUUCUUGUUUUUGGAGAAUUGAUUUAGCUGAGAAAAGUAUUAUGAACAUGAAGGAAUGCUUCCCAUAAUCGGUGAUCUUCUCGUUGAACUCACUUCUCUCUACAAGCUUACCCUAAUGUUGUACAUUGAGCAAGGUAUCAAUAAAGAUGUUGAUGAGGACGUAGACGCAAGUGACCAGUUUAAAGAGGACGAUUCAAGUGAUGAGGGUGAAGUAGGUGAAGAAUUUUAAGAGGACGAUUCAAGUGAUGAGGAUGAAGUAGGUGAAGAAUUUUAAGAGGACGACAUAGGUGAUAGAUUUUAAGAGGAGGACAUAAAUGAUGAAAAGGAUGAUGGAGAUGACGAUUAGUUUGACAAACUUAAAUGAGAUGGAUGUUGUUGUUUUAGGCUUUUGCUUAAGCAUUAAACUUAAAGAAACUGUGCAAUUUUUUAUUUAGUAUUAAAUAAUGUUAGCCAUCGUGUCUAUUGUGUACGUAUUUGAGUUAAUGUUUGAAGCUAUGUA
Vicia villosa (hairy vetch) is the source of this 2262-nucleotide long non-coding RNA. RefSeq lists it as uncharacterized. The record is from RefSeq and is a predicted model, not a curated record. The transcript is spliced from 3 exons. Lineage: Eukaryota; Viridiplantae; Streptophyta; Magnoliopsida; Fabales; Fabaceae.